Benincasa hispida (wax gourd) is the source of this 1064-nucleotide RNA transcript. RefSeq lists it as uncharacterized. Lineage: Eukaryota; Viridiplantae; Streptophyta; Magnoliopsida; Cucurbitales; Cucurbitaceae. The record is from RefSeq and is a predicted model, not a curated record.
CAACUAGUAUAAAUAGGAGGGAUGUCCUACCAUUUGUAUCAAGCCAAAAAAAAUUAGACGUGCUCAAUAACACAAGUGGCCUCUUUCUCAAUUCUCUCUUCCAAAUUUUCUCCAACCUCCCAAAUUUAUUUCCAACAAGAUUGUAUGUAUGAAAUCUAUUGUUCAAGGGAUUGCUACGGUUGUUUGUGUGAAUCUGUCCAUCUCCCGUACGUGGUACGAUGCUUUUAAAUGUAGUUCGUGGUCAGAUAUUAUGUGUGCCACUAUUUUCUGUAAGUUUCCUUUGGGGCGUCGUCGUUGGAGAAGACGCAUGCAACUCUAAUCUUGUAAUAAAAGCCUGCCCCACAAUUCUUGUGUUUGUCUUUUAAACUUGACUGAUUUAAAUGUUUAGUGAUAUUUGAUGCAUAUAAUAAGGAGAUUCACGUGUAAAGUUGAGUUGAGUUGAUAAUUAUUGUAGGAUGAAAGUGAUUGGAAGAGUUGAUGCGAAUAACGAGGUGAAAAAUGGUGAACCAAACGGUUUCAAGCACUUAAGAGGUAAAACAGGGCGUUGCUAAUGAAAUGGAGCUGAAGGGCCAAAAUGAAGCUUAAAUGCACCAAUCGAGAAAGAGAAAGCUAAAAUGACCAAAAAGCCCCUGGAAGCGCAAUGUACAAUGUAGCAACACUAGCGCCUGACGCUUUUUCCAGAAGCACCGAAUUUGAUGCAAUGUCGUGGUGCUCCAAAGUUCCUACAUGCGAAUGUUUCUGUUAGUGUUGCGGUGCUAUCACAAUUUUAUAAAUAAGAAAUAUGUCGCUUAGGGUUGAUCGAUCUCGAAUUCUAACCGAACUCCACACGAUUCUCUUUGUGUUCCCCAUCUUUUUUGUCUAUUUAUGUAUCUAAAAAGUUCCUAGAUGUCCAUCAUAACAAUUAUGGGGAUAAGGUAACUUCUUCUGGCUUGGGUUUUAGGAUUUUUCUCUAGUUUCAUGUACUGGAGAGUUUUUUCGAAUCGAACACUGAUGUAUUUGCUUGAUUCAAUUCCGUUCUUGUAAGAUUAUGAUUAUAUUAUCGAACACUUGUGGAUUUUAUGAUU